This is a long non-coding RNA of Scophthalmus maximus (turbot), 672 nucleotides long. RefSeq lists it as uncharacterized. Lineage: Eukaryota; Metazoa; Chordata; Actinopteri; Pleuronectiformes; Scophthalmidae. The record is from RefSeq and is a predicted model, not a curated record. The transcript is spliced from 3 exons.
GCGUGUGUGGGCUGAUAAUUUGAUGAAACAGCGUCGAUGUUGUUUCUCUGGAGGAAACGUGACCCGGGAUCACGAGGUCGUUGACCUCUCUCUGACCUCUGACCCCUUCAUGUUCAGCGUCUCCUCCACAUACACACACACACACAAACACACACUGUGUCUGUUCCACAGUGAAACUCUCGUGUUUGGAUAAACUCAUGCAACCCGCUGUUGCGUCACCGUCAUGUGGUCAUUCACAUCACACGGCCCGGCCGACCAAUGGAGGAGCUCCCACAGCGUCACGUGACCCGGGUCUACAGCAGGACACGAUGUUCUGAGCUCAGAUCAGAUGAACCAGUCAGAAGACUUUAGUCUGACUGUCAGACUCUUAAAGGAUCAGUUCAACAGAAACUCUGUGUCUUUACUGGAACAUCAUGAAGUUGUUCUUUGUUAGGUGAUGAACGUGUGACUCACCGUUGGGCAGCGGGACUGGAACGCUGGGCUGCUCCCGUCGUCCUCUCUGGAUCCGUACCGUGGCCCACUGCGAACACAGGAUUCGGACCAGGACCCGGAUGUAGACUCCAGUGACGCCCAGCGAGAGGCCGAACAUGGCGGGCAGCAUGAUGAAGAAGACCACCACGAACAUCCAGGCCUGGAACACUCCGACCGCCGCGCGCCACGGGUCGUCCAUCU